Panicum virgatum (switchgrass) is the source of this 861-nucleotide long non-coding RNA. RefSeq lists it as uncharacterized. The transcript is spliced from 2 exons. The record is from RefSeq and is a predicted model, not a curated record. NCBI's taxonomy places the organism in Eukaryota, Viridiplantae, Streptophyta, Magnoliopsida, Poales, Poaceae.
CAAAGAUACCCAGGUUUAGAUCAAACCAACAAAACGAAAAGCUAAGGUACUAAGCCUCAAUCUGCUCCCGGAGAAUUUCCAACCUUACAGAAGAAUUCCAUGACUACACUCUCCAAGCGACGGCAACUAUCCUUCAAGUAAGCUAUCACAGGUAAGCUGUGUCCUCCUUGGAAUUGAGGACAUCUGAUUCCACUUGUGCAGGGCAACGAUCCUGUCUGGCUGCUGGUAGACGACAAGCCUGUUCGUAGGAUGAUCAGCAACGAGCACCGUGGAGCACUGGAGCACGAGAAGAGUCGUCGGGCGUGACACUAUGCUUGGCUUGGAAAGGAGUAAAGUAAACAUGAACGCAUGCAACUUUUCAAAAAAAAAAAGAACGCAUGCAGAUGCAGGAGCCCAAACAGAGCCAAACCCUCGCCUGUCGAGGUCGGGCAGAGAUUCCUUACAUGGAAAACUGCCACCUGCUUGCAUCGGUUGCUCCCAUGGCGUCCGUCGUCCUGCAUGAAUGAGUUUCCUCCUCACUUUCUCAGUGGUACCACAUGACAAGAUCGAAAAGGUUAGAUUGCAGAGUUGUUUGCAUCUUUCAGCGAAGCAAUAAAAGAUGCAAAUCCAUGCUUGGUACAGUGUGGCUUUCGUUAGGCCUCCUCCGAUGGCUGGCGAAGUCGCCAGCAAUAGGAUUUGUUUAAUAGAUGAAUAGUAGAAAAACAUUCACGCUAGCGCUGAGCUAACCGUGUAGCGAGAGUGCUUUCUCCUUCACAUGCACAAAGUCCAAAAUAUUGAUGUUGCUACGCUGGCCGGCGAAAUCGCCCAUGCCAGCGGCAACCACUAGAGGAUGCCUUAUGGAGAGAAGUCAUAUAUUGCAAU